UAUUAGCUCAGGUGGUUAGAGCGCACCCCUGAUAAGGGUGAGGUCCCUGGUUCGAGUCCAGGAUGGCCCACCUGAAGCAAGUCAAAAGUUAAAAGACAAAAGUCAAAAGUAGUUAUUUACGGGGGUUUAGCUCAGUUGGUAGAGCGCCUGCUUUGCAAGCAGGAUGUCAGCGGUUGAGUCCGCUAACCUCCACAUUGGAAGUCGUUGUACUGUCCUUCAGUCUGACGACCCACUUUUGGUCGGUCUUGGAACUUUUGACGUAUCAUUGCGCUUUUUUCGUCCGACUGUUUUGAGUACUGAGGAAAGAGUACCGAGUAAUGGGUGAAGAACUCAUUGCCGAGUAGGAAAGAAACAGGAAAGCAGAAAAGUUUGCAAGUCGAACAAAAUGUAUUGAAGUGGUCAAGCUAAUAAGGGCUAAUGGU
RNAcentral lists this transfer RNA (422 nucleotides) under Anabaena laxa RPAN56. Its description in RNAcentral is "partial 16S-23S ribosomal RNA intergenic spacer". The stretch from base 121 to 192 matches the Rfam family "tRNA". The record is from RNAcentral. Lineage: Bacteria; Bacillati; Cyanobacteriota; Cyanophyceae; Nostocales; Nostocaceae.